AGCGAACGCUGGCGGCAGGCCUAACACAUGCAAGUCGAACGAACGCUUCGGAGUUAGUGGCGGACGGGUGAGUAACACGUGGGAACGUGCCUUUUGGUUCGGAAUAACGCAGGGAAACUUGUGCUAAUACCGAAUGUGCCCUUCGGGGGAAAGAUUUAUCGCCAUUAGAGCGGCCCGCGCCUGAUUAGCUAGUUGGUGAGGUAACGGCUCACCAAGGCGACGAUCAGUAGCUGGUCUGAGAGGAUGACCAGCCACACUGGGACUGAGACACGGCCCAGACUCCUACGGGAGGCAGCAGUGGGGAAUCUUGCGCAAUGGGCGAAAGCCUGACGCAGCCAUGCCGCGUGAAUGAUGAAGGUCUUAGGAUUGUAAAAUUCUUUCACCGGGGACGAUAAUGACGGUACCCGGAGAAGAAGCCCCGGCUAACUUCGUG
Molecule: ribosomal RNA, 433 nt
Filed under: uncultured bacterium
Lineage: Bacteria
Description: partial 16S ribosomal RNA
Rfam family: Bacterial small subunit ribosomal RNA
Source: RNAcentral